CUUCAGUGUGCUGUGAGGGUCCACCAGGCUGGGAGCAGCCCUGUCUGGGAGGACUGUCUUCUAGGUGCAGGUGGCUGGGUCUGUGCCAUCUGACUGUCUGGCCACUGAGCAUGUGACAUGUGUUUUGGGCAUACUGGGGUUUAAAUACCCUUCUUGAUCAGAGGAGAUAUUGCAUUUAGAAUUUUAUUUAAAAAUAAAUGCAAUUUUAUUUACAAAUAGGACUAUGGAGGAAUUGAAUUGUAAACUUCAUUUAAUUUCAGUCUCAACAGUUACCACAGAAACUGGAGCCAGACGGACCUGGCUCCUGGUCCUGCUCUGCCCCUUACCGACUGCGUGGCUUUGGGCCACUUCACUGUGGGUCAUCUCAUCCCUUGCUCCCUCGUUCAUACGACAGACAGAUUCUUCCUAGGUCACAGAGCUGGUGUGAAGAUGAGAAGAGAGAAGUGUUUGGCAUGGUGCCGAGGACAUGGGACAUCGGAGCUGUCAUUUCCACCAUCAUGAUUAAUCACAAAUGUGAUCACGUCAAUCCUCGUUCAAAGGCCUUCAGAAGCUUUUCACUCCAAAUGUCAAGCUCCAAAAUGAGAUUUUGGAAGCCAAAGACUCAAGAAGCCCAGAGAAUUCCAAAUAAGGCAAAUAAAACAUGAAUCCACACCUAGAAAAACUACACAAAACUGCUCUAAGUCGAAGGAAAAGAAAUCUUAAAAACAUCCCAAGAUUACCAAAGGCAUGAGUUUCAGGUUUAUAAAAGCUCACUUCUCUAUGGGGACAAUGGGAGCCAGGAGACAGGAGAAUGACGCACCUGAAGAGAGCAACUGCCACAUAGACUCAAAUCUCAGUCAAAAUACCUCCCAAGGUUAGAGGGUAAAAUAGGUGUUUUCUCUUUCUGUCUCUCUCACACACACACAAACACACACACAAACACAAACACACACACAUGCACUUGCAGAUGCCUAAGAGAAUUUGUCACCAGCAGAGCCAUACUGAAGGAAAACACUACAAGACACUCUUUAAGCAGAAGAAAAACUGUCCCACAUGAGCCACCUGAGAGUAGAGAAGGCACAGCUAAUGCACAGAUUUGAACAUGGACUCUACAGAAAUACUGACAAUGUCUUUUGGGGUUUCAAAUGUAGAGGGAAGUUGAUAGUGGAUAUGAAUCUGCAUGGUGUCACUGUCUAAGGCCAUUAUGUCAUCAAGGAGGCAGAUUCGUCAGGGAAUACUGGGUUUGGCAAGUUGAAAGUGAACGCUGUGAUUCUUAGCAUAACCUCUAGAAGAACAGUAAAGGAAGAAAACAUUCAGUAAAUAUCCAGAUUUUGCUGGGGUAUCUUUUUUUUUAAUAUUUAUUUUUUAGUUUUUGGCGGACACAACAUCUUUGUUUGUAUGUGGUGCUGAGGAUCGAACCCGGGCCGCACGCAUGCCAGGCGAGCGCACUACCGCUUGAGCCACAUCCCCAGCCCUGGGGUAUCUUACUAUUAAUAAAAGAAGAGGGAAGGGGUGAAAAAUUUCUAAGCCCAUGUAGGGGGAAAAAAUGAAAUAAUAAAACCCUAUCAGCUCACAGGAGGCAAGAGUGGAGAGAAAAACAUCAUAGCGUAAGUGGUACAACUGGCACUGAGUAAGACAAUAAGUUUAAAUGCAGUAUACCACGCAAUUACAUUAUACAUAAAUGCACUCACAGACAAAGCUUGCCAAACUGGGUAAAAAAAAAAACUAUAUGCUUUUAACAAGAGAUAUAUCUAAAUUUUAAGAAUGAUCGAUUGAAAAAGUGAAAAGAAAUAUUUAUGAAACUCUAACAAAAAGAAAUCCAGUGUAGCUGAUGGAGCUAUAUUAAUGACAAAGUGAACUUUAAUGGAAAAACACUACUAGAGAGAGAUAAAGAGAGUCAUCUCAUGAUGAUCAAAAGGUUCAUCAAACAGAAAGUAUUAAAAUGACAAAUCCAUAUGCACCUAGUAAUACAGACUCAAAAUAUACAAAGCAAAAAUUGACAGCAUUAAAAAAAGAAAUAGACAAAUCCACAAUAAUGAUGUGAUUUAAAAAUAUGCCAUCUCUCAAUGACUAACAGACCUAUAGAUGACAAGAUCAAUAAGAGAAUUUCAGUUUUGAAUAUCAUUGGUAACCUUGAUUUAAUAAACAUAUAGAAUAUAGAAUACUGUAUCCAAAGAAUGCAGAAUGCACAUUUUUUUUUCAAGGGCAUAUGUGGAACCAAUAUUGACCACAUGAAGGUUAUAAAGCCAGUCUUAAUAUGGAAGGUUUGAACUCACAGAGGAUAUUCUCUGACCACCAUAAUUAAGCUAGAAAUC
Molecule: long non-coding RNA, 2294 nt
Filed under: Marmota monax (woodchuck)
Lineage: Eukaryota; Metazoa; Chordata; Mammalia; Rodentia; Sciuridae
Source: RNAcentral